RNA transcript from Octodon degus (degu), 2395 nucleotides. It is a transcript of the gene named 26S proteasome non-ATPase regulatory subunit 1 pseudogene, with no coding region annotated. Lineage: Eukaryota; Metazoa; Chordata; Mammalia; Rodentia; Octodontidae. The record is from RefSeq and is a predicted model, not a curated record. The transcript is spliced from 3 exons.
AUGAUCGCCUCAGCUGCUGGAGUUGUUUCUCUUCUGGAUGAAGAAGAACCACAGCUUAAGGAAUUCGCACUACACAAAUUGAAUACAGUUGUCAAUGACUUCUGGGCAGAAAUUUCUGAGUCUGUAGACAAAAUAGAAGUUUUGUAUGAAGAUGAAGGUUUCCGGAGUCGGCAGUUUGCAGCCUUAGUGGCAUCUAAAGUAUUUUACCACCUGGGAGCUUUUGAGGAGUCUCUGAAUUAUGCUCUUGGAGCAGGUGACCUCUUCAAUGUCAAUGACAAUUCUGAGUAUGUGGAGACUAUUAUAGCAAAAUGCAUUGAUCACUAUACCAAGCAGUGUGUAGAAAAUGCAGAUUUGCCUGAAGGAGAAAAAAACCAAUUGACCAGAGAUUGGAAGGCAUUGUGAACAAAAUGUUCCCACGAUGUCUAGAUGAUCGCAAGUAUAAGCAGGCUAUCGGCAUCGCCGUGGAGACGAGAAGACUAGAUGUCUUUGAGAAGACCACACUAGAAUCGAAUGAUGUCGCGGGAAUGCUAGCUUAUAGCCUCAAGCUCUGCAUGUCUUUAAUGCAGAAUAAACAGUUCCAGAAUAAAGUGCUGAGAGUCCUAGUUAAAAUCUACAUGACAGACCUCAUGAUUCUAAAAAACACAAAGGAAGCAGUACAGAAUUCAGUAUGCCACACAGCAACUGUCAUAGCAAACUCUUUCAUGCACUGUGGGACUACCAGUGACCAGUUUCUUAGAGAUAACUUGGAAUGGUUGGCCAGAGCCACUAACUGGGCUAAAUUUACUGCUGCAGCCAGUUUGGGUGUAAUUCAUAAGGGUCACGAGAAGGAAGCAUUGCAGUUAAUGGCAACCUACCUUCCCAAAGACACGUCUCCAGGGUCAGCCUACCAGGAAGGCGGGGGGCUCUAUGCACUAAGGCUCAUCCAUGCCAAUCAUGGUGGCGACAUAAUUGAUUACCUGCUGAAUCAGCUCAAGAAUGCCAGCAACGAUAUCGUUCGGCAUGGAGGCAGCCUGGGUCUUGAUUUGGCUGCCAUGGAAGCUGCAUGCCAGAAUGUUUAUGAUUUGCUAAAAACCAACCUUUACCAGGAUGAUGCUGCGACAGGAGAAGCAGCUGGCCUGGCCCUAGGUUUGGUUAUGUUGGGCUCUAAAAAUGCUCAGGCUAUCGAGGACAUGGUUGGCUAUGCCCAGGAAACCCAGCAUGAAAAGAUCCUGCGUGGUCUCGCCGUCGGCAUUGCCUUAGUGAUGUAUGGGAGGAUGGAAGAGGCUGAUGCACUCAUUGAGUCUCUCUGUCGGGAUAAGGACCCAAUUCUUCGAAGGUCUGGAAUGUAUACAGUGGCCAUGGCUUAUUGUGGCUUUGGUAACAACAAAGCUGUUCGACACCUGCUACAUGUUGCUGUCAGCAAUGUUAAUGAUGAUGUUAGGAGGGCAGCAGUCAAAUCACUUGGCUUCAUUCUAUUCAGGACCCCUGAGCAGUGUCCCAGUGUGGUCUCUCUGCUGUCCGAGAGUUACAACCCCCAUGUGCACUACAGAGCCGCGAUGGCCCUAGGCAUCUGCUGUGCUGGUACAGGAAACAAGGAAAUGAUUAAUUUGCUAGAACCAAUGAAAAAUGACCCUUGAACUACGUGAGGCAAGGGGCUCUCAUAGCCUACGUACACAUCAUGAUCCAGCAGACUGAGAUUACAUGUCCAAAGGUGAAUCAGUUCCAACAGCUGUGUUCCAAAGUUAUCAGUGAUAAGCAUGAUGAUGUCAUGGCCAAGUUUGGCGCUAUUCUGGCCCAGGGCAUACUAGAUGCAGGUGGUCAUAAUGUUACAAUCUCCUUACAGUCCAGAACUGGGCACACACAUAUGCCUUCUGUGGUUGGCGUCCUUGUCUUUACCCAAUUCUGGUUCUGGUUUCCUCUCUCACACUUUCUGUCAUUGGCUUAUACCCCUACCUGUGUCAUCGGCCUGAACAAGGAUUUAAAGAUGCCAAAGGUGCAGUAUAAAUCAAACUGUAAACCAUCCACAUUUACGUAUCCUGCACCUCUGGAAGUACCAAAAGAAAAAGAAAAGGAAAUGGUUUCUACUGCUGUGUUCUCUAUUACUGCCAAAGCCAAAAAGAAAGAAAAAGAAAAAGACAAAAAGGAGGAAGAGAAAAUGGAAGUGGACGAAGCAGAGAAAAAAGAAGAAAAAGAGAAGAAAAAGGAACCUGAGCCAAAUUUCCAGCUGUUGGAUAACCCAGCCCGAGUUAUGCCUGCCCAGCUGAAGGACAAACGUGUUACUUAUGCAGUUUCCAGUCCUCAAAAACGGUACUCGCAAAAACACGUGCUACAAGGCAGUGUCCACGUCCUAGAAGGGUGUCGCGGGCCGCGGGGAGGGAAGGCGGGACCUGGCUUCCUCUCCAGGAAGCAGCGAUGA